This is a long non-coding RNA of Juglans microcarpa x Juglans regia, 402 nucleotides long. RefSeq lists it as uncharacterized. The transcript has 3 exons. Lineage: Eukaryota; Viridiplantae; Streptophyta; Magnoliopsida; Fagales; Juglandaceae. The record is from RefSeq and is a predicted model, not a curated record.
CAAUUAUAAACGUUUAACGAAAAAUAUUUGGUCUAAUAAUUUUUUUUUUUAUAAAAAUAAAUUUAUAAAAAUUGAUGCGAAUUAAUUAAUGUAAUUCAUUAGAUUGUGCAUUACAGCAAACUACUUAUGAUCUUGCAAAUAUGAAGACUAGGUUUAUUUGUUUUUUUUUUUUUAACGGGAAAAUGUCAUUGCUUAUUGGUAAAAAAAACUUGCAUAUAUGACUGGAUACAUUUUGGAAUGUCUCUAUGUCAAACAUGACAUCAUAAAUCAAAAUAAUGCAUUUAGAGCUCUACCAGUAUACUAUUUCCUUUUGUAAUUAGUCUGGUCUUCACUACUGUUGAUACUCUCUACAGAAAAACGUCUAAGAGACGGUACUCUCUACACUUUUUCAUUUGAAAGAGA